RNAcentral lists this ribosomal RNA (459 nucleotides) under uncultured bacterium. Its description in RNAcentral is "partial 16S ribosomal RNA". It matches the Rfam family "Bacterial small subunit ribosomal RNA", at positions 338 to 795 of the family's 1533-position model. The record is from RNAcentral.
CCUACGGGAGGCAGCAUUGAGGAAUAUUGGUCAAUGGGCGCGAGCCUGACCCAGCCAAGUCGCGUGAGGGAAGAAGGUCCUCUGGAUUGUAAACCUCUUUUGUCGGGGAGAAAAAGACGCCACGCGUGGCGUUCCGAGAGUACCCGAAGAAAAAGCAUAGGCUAACUCCGUGCCAGCAGCCGCGGUACUACGGAGGAUGCGAGCGUUAUCCGGAUUGAGUGGGUGUAAAGGGUGCGCAGGGGGAAGAUCAAGUCAGCGGUAAAAUUGAGAGGCUCAACCUCUUCGAGCCGUUGAAACUGGUUUUCUUGAGUGAGCGAGAAGUAUGCGGAAUGCGUGGUGUAGCGGUGAAAUGCAUAGAUAUCACGCAGAACUCCGAUUGCGAAGGCAGCAUACCGGCGCUCAACUGACGCUCAUGCACGAAAGUGUGGGUAUCGAACAGGAUUAGAUACCCUUGUAGUC